RNAcentral lists this ribosomal RNA (301 nucleotides) under uncultured bacterium. Its description in RNAcentral is "partial 16S ribosomal RNA". It matches the Rfam family "Bacterial small subunit ribosomal RNA", at positions 509 to 809 of the family's 1533-position model. The record is from RNAcentral.
CAGCAGCCGCGGUAAUACAGAGGAUGCAAGCGUUAUCCGGAAUGAUUGGGCGUAAAGCGCGCGCAGGCGGAUCAGUUAGUCUGUCUUAAAAGUUCGGGGCUUAACCCCGUGAUGGGAUGGAAACUGCUGAUCUAGAGUAUCGGAGAGGAAAGUGGAAUUCCUAGUGUAGCGGUGAAAUGCGUAGAUAUUAGGAAGAACACCAGUGGCGAAGGCGACUUUCUGGACGAAAACUGACGCUGAGGCGCGAAAGCCAGGGGAGCGAACGGGAUUAGAUACCCGCGUAGUCCCUGUCUCUUAUACA